Molecule: ribosomal RNA, 253 nt
Filed under: uncultured bacterium
Lineage: Bacteria
Description: partial 16S ribosomal RNA
Rfam family: Bacterial small subunit ribosomal RNA
Source: RNAcentral
UACGAAGGGGGCAAGCGUUGUUCGGAAUUACUGGGCGUAAAGGGCGCGUAGGCGGCUUACCAAGUCAGGCGUGAAAUUCCCGGGCUCAACCUGGGGGCUGCGCUUGAUACUGGUGAGCUUGAGUCCGGGAGAGGUGAGUGGAACUCCGAGUGUAGAGGUGAAAUUCGUAGAUAUUCGGAAGAACACCAGUGGCGAAGGCGGCUCACUGGCCCGGUACUGACGCUGAGGUGCGAAAGCGUGGGGAGCAAACAGG